RNAcentral lists this long non-coding RNA (346 nucleotides) under Elaeis guineensis (African oil palm). Its description in RNAcentral is "long non-coding RNA (EGUI_LNC063734)". The record is from RNAcentral. Lineage: Eukaryota; Viridiplantae; Streptophyta; Magnoliopsida; Arecales; Arecaceae.
CUGCGGUUUUCAAAAUUUUUGAAAUCUAUACAUGCUGCCUAUCCGAUUUUCUAACAUUCACCCUAGUACUUCAAGAGUCAACCCCUAAUAUGCAUGAGUCAGACCUAAGAUCAAUAUAGUUAACCUCAUAAUAGUCUUAGAUGAAAGAUAAAGGACACCCCAAAUCAACAGUUUCUCAAGUUGAUCCAAAGAGAAGAUGGUUGACCCUUGAAACUCAUGAGUCAACCUAAGAAGCUUACAAGUCGACUCCUGAUGAAGACAAUGUUGGGGAGGAUCCCUCACAAGUAUGGAAUACAAAUCCCCCAACUUAGGAUCUCAAUACCAAUGAUGGUGUCAACACCGCAAC